CCUACGGGAGGCAGCAGUGAGGAAUAUUGGUCAAUGGCCGCAAGUCUGAACCAGCCAAGUCGCGUGAGGGAUGACGGUCCUAUGGAUUGUAAACCUCUUUUGUCAGGGAGCAAAGGGCGCCACGUGUGGCGUUUUGCGAGUACCUGAAGAAAAAGCAUCGGCUAACUCCGUGCCAGCAGCCGCGGUAAUACGGAGGAUGCGAGCGUUAUCCGGAUUUAUUGGGUUUAAAGGGUGCGGAGGCGGUUUUUUAAGUCAGCGGUAAAAUUUCGGGGCUCAACCCCGUAGUUGCCUUUAAACUUGUAGGAGUUGAGUGGAGUUGCAGUAUGCGGAAUGUGUGGUGUAGCGGUGAAAUGCUUAGAGAUCAUACAGAACACCGAUUGCGAAGGCAGCAUACCAACGUAUAUCUGACGUUGAGGCACGAAAGCGUGGGUAUCGAACAGGAUUAGAUACCCUUGUAGUC
This 460-nucleotide ribosomal RNA is filed under the name uncultured bacterium. RNAcentral's name for it is "partial 16S ribosomal RNA". It matches the Rfam family "Bacterial small subunit ribosomal RNA", at positions 338 to 795 of the family's 1533-position model. The record is from RNAcentral.